This 463-nucleotide ribosomal RNA is filed under the name uncultured bacterium. Its description in RNAcentral is "partial 16S ribosomal RNA". It matches the Rfam family "Bacterial small subunit ribosomal RNA", at positions 28 to 507 of the family's 1533-position model. The record is from RNAcentral.
GACGAACGCUGGCGGCGUGCUUAACACAUGCAAGUCGAACGGUGAACCUCUUCGGAGGGGAUCAGUGGCGAACGGGUGAGUAACACGUGGGCAACCUGCCCCCGGCUCUGGGAUAACUCCAAGAAAUUGGGGCUAAUACCGGAUGUUCACCGCUUCCCGCAUGGGUGGUGGUGGAAAGGGUUUCCGGCUGGGGAUGGGCCCGCGGCCUAUCAGCUUGUUGGUGGGGUAGUGGCCUACCAAGGCGACGACGGGUAGCCGGCCUGAGAGGGUGACCGGCCACACUGGGACUGAGACACGGCCCAGACUCCUACGGGAGGCAGCAGUGGGGAAUAUUGCGCAAUGGGCGGAAGCCUGACGAAGCGACGCCGCGUGGGGGAUGACGGCCUUCGGGUUGUAAACCUCUUUCAGCAGGGACGAAGCGCAAGUGACGGUACCUGCAGAAGAAGCACCGGCCAACUACGUG